This 579-nucleotide long non-coding RNA is filed under the name Nannospalax galili (Upper Galilee mountains blind mole rat). RNAcentral's name for it is "lncRNA (ENSNGAG00000024514.1)". Lineage: Eukaryota; Metazoa; Chordata; Mammalia; Rodentia; Spalacidae. The record is from RNAcentral.
UUCUGAAUUGGUCCGAUGUUCAGUUAUAGUAAAUUUAAUACAUCUGUCCAUCUGUCGGUGCCAUGCCAUUGAGCUUAGUAUAGAGCAAGCACCAAGAGUAUUCCUAAUCAGUUUUUCUUAAGCUGGAAUCAGCUGUAAAAAUCUGAAUCUAGACUGUGUUCUCUGUAUAUGUAUUUUCAAUCUAAUAUGCCUUUUUUUUGUGCUCUUCAGAAUGGACACAGUGACAACAUCGUUGUCGAAUGGACGCUCAGAAGCUGACUUGUGCUUUCUUCUCUGGCCACAAUGUCCCUGGUUGCCCUGUCCGGAUGCUCAUGUAAGUGGUCUUGCUUUUAUAAGCUAGAAUCAAGGCUUGCCUAGAAUCCAGUGAGGCUGGUUAUGGCUGCCUGGUGGAUCCAGCAUGCCUCUAUACACUGCUGAGUAACUGAAAUUUCCAAAAUUAUGAGAAAAGACAAACGAGAAACUCAUUGUGGCACAAGAUCCAUUAGGUAGCAUUAAAGUACACUUCAGGAUCUUGUUCUUAGGUUUUUGUGAUUAACAGCUAUCUAAAUGCUAUGAGUGGAGUGAAUUAUUGGUCAAUAA